Molecule: ribosomal RNA, 676 nt
Filed under: uncultured archaeon
Lineage: Archaea
Description: partial 16S ribosomal RNA
Source: RNAcentral
GGCGUUGACUCCAAUUGAACCGCAGGCUUCACCCCUUGUGGUGCUCCCCCGCCAAUUCCCUUAAGUUCAUACUUGCGUACGUACUUCCCAGGCGGCAGACUUAACGGCUUCCCUGCGGCACUGCAUUGGCCACAAGCCAAUGCAUCACCGAGUCUGCAUCGUUUACAGCUGGGACUACCCGGGUAUCUAAUCCGGUUUGCUCCCCCAGCUUUCAUCCCUCACCGUCGAACGUGUUCUGGUACACCGCCUUCGCCACAGGUGGUCUUCAAUAGAUCAAAGGAUUUUACCCCUUCCUAUCGAGUACCGUGUACCUCUCCCACUCCCUAGCUGCACAGUAUUUUCGGCGGCCUAUACGUUAAGCGCAUAGAUUUAACCGAAAACUUAUGCAACCGGCUACGGAUGCUUUAGGCCCAAUAAACCUCCUGACCACUCGAGGUGCUGGUUUUACCGCGGCGGCUGACACCAGAACUUGCCCACCCCUUAUUCACCAGUGAUUCUACAACUGACAAAAGACUCCUUUAGCAGGAGACACUCGGAUUAACCUUGUCGUGCUUUCGCACAUUGCAAAGGUUUCUCGNCUGCUGCGCCCCAUAGGGCCUGGGUCCGUGUCUCAGUACCAUCUCCGGGCCCCUCUCUCAGAGCCCGUACUGGUAUAGCCUUGGUGGGCAUUACUCAC